UACGGGGGGAGCAAGCGUUGUUCGGAUUUACUGGGCGUAAAGGGCGCGUAGGCGGUCAGCACAAGUCAGUUGUGAAAUCUCCGGGCUUAACUCGGAAAGGUCAACUGAUACUGUGCGACUAGAGUGCAGAAGGGGCAACUGGAAUUCUCGGUGUAGCGGUGAAAUGCGUAGAUAUCAGGAGGAACACCUGUGGUGUAGACGGCUCUCUGGACAGUAACUGACGCUGAGACACGAAAGCGUGGGUAGCAAACAGG
RNAcentral lists this ribosomal RNA (254 nucleotides) under uncultured bacterium. RNAcentral's name for it is "partial 16S ribosomal RNA". It matches the Rfam family "Bacterial small subunit ribosomal RNA", at positions 524 to 776 of the family's 1533-position model. The record is from RNAcentral.